RNAcentral lists this small RNA (819 nucleotides) under Pyricularia oryzae. RNAcentral's name for it is "Magnaporthe oryzae sRNA M_BR32_EuGene_00054851". Lineage: Eukaryota; Fungi; Ascomycota; Sordariomycetes; Magnaporthales; Pyriculariaceae. The record is from RNAcentral.
AUAUUUUAUAUAUUAUUACUGGAACCGGCACUAUACGGCACUAAUACGCAAAAAACAAUCGAAAUUAACGCAAAACAAAUUUAUAACGUUAAAUAAAUAUUUAAUUAUAAACAAAACCACGGUAAAACAAAAUAUUUUAUUAAAUGGAAAAAUUAUGGGUAUAAAAAAAACAUUUGGGAAUUUUUUAACUAUUUUUAAAAUUGCCAGAAACCGUUCCGCUAAUAUUAUUAAAAAUUGGAUUUGCGAAUAAAUUACCAAAAAAAACAACCUAAAAAAAUACCACCAAUUAUUUUUAAGAAUUAAAUUUACAAAAACCCAGUUUUGCAAAUUAAUAUCCAAUACCGAAAACCAAUUAACAAUAUCGACGUAAUUUAAAAAACGCAAUUCCGGGACCAAACCUAAUUCGAAAAGAUUGUCGAAAAACAAUUCGUCGACCCCCAAAUAAUCCUUUUUAUAAUAUUUUUUACCGAUAAUUUAAUAUUUAAACGGAUAAUUUCGGCCUCGCUGCGAAAUUAAAAAAGGCGUUUUUAUUUGCGUAAUUAUAAUAACCGGUUAAAUUUUUCGAACGAUUUUCGUUGCAAACGCGCAAUUUUUUAUUACACGCGGAAAAUAUUAUUUUUAAUUUUAAAUUUUUGCAAUUUAAAUUUUUUUUUUAAUUUAAUCGACCCAUUGAAAAAACAAAUUAAAUUGUAAAACAAAUUUUAUAUAUAAAAAAAAAAUAUUUAUAAUUGGUUAUAAAAACGGAAAUAGCGUCGCAUUUCCAAUUACGACAAAUAUAUUUAUUAUAUCGAAAAUUUGAUAAAAUUAUACGAUAUAAAU